Long non-coding RNA from Micropterus salmoides (largemouth bass), 727 nucleotides. RefSeq lists it as uncharacterized. Lineage: Eukaryota; Metazoa; Chordata; Actinopteri; Centrarchiformes; Centrarchidae. The record is from RefSeq and is a predicted model, not a curated record. The transcript has 2 exons.
AGUUAGCUAACUUGGUGAUUGGUUUAUGGUCUAAGGCCUCAGACUUUCUGUCUUCUUCUUGAUGACAGUGCAUUCGCUAACAACAUUAGGUUAACGUUAUGUGACCAGACGGGACAGUAUGGCGCUAACAUUACAGCAGCGGGUUCUUCAACUAACACGUUACCCAAAAUUGUCACUUAUCGCGAAAUGCUGCGGGUGAACACCAGGCGGCGCUCUCCGACGUGAAAUCACUCUCGGGCCGUAAACUCGGUAGUCUGGGGAAUCACUGCCCUCAUCUUGGCCUCGCAGGAAUCUCACCUUCAGCAAUGGGACGCUUUCACUGAGGAAACCUCAUCCAGUGAGGGAAGAAGUUUUGGGAUCAUUUACUUAAGUUAAAGUAGCCUAAUAAUAAGAACAUUUGAAAAUACUCCUUUAUAAUAUUACUAUUAUUAAGUAUACGGAGCCAAGUAAACUGCAAAAUGUAGCCUACUGGGCCUAUACAGGCUAAUGAUAUUUUAUCAGUGGAAAGCAGUAUAUUUACUCAAGUACUGUAGGCCUAGUUAAGUACAAUUUUGAGUAGCCUACUUGCAUUUUGUUAAUUAAGAGGAGGUAGUGUACAGCAGAUAAACAUACUAUUGAACCAGUAUAUAAAUAAAAACAUUUCAAAGUAAAAAGCAUAAGGGCCAGCGAGAAGAAUAAACACCAUAUGUUUCACAAAUAUAAUAAUAAAAAGAAAACUGGACUCAAA